CAGUGGAUCUAAUUCAAAUUUGGGAAGGAUUACCUAUUUUUGAUGUUCUGUGAUGUUGAUUGAAUAACUAAAACUAAUUAUUAAUUUAGUAAUAAGUCAUUCAACUAAAGAGAAACUAUACUUAACUAUACAUCCUCCAGCUUUUCAAGAUAUUAAGAAGUUUAUUAGCAGGAUUUUACUAGAGUGGUUAUUGCUGAAUUCUUUGCUCACAAAACAUUUUGAUGAGAUAUGCUUGGGAACGGAAUAGUUUGAGUUGAACAAGGAAAUAUGUGUGGCCUUGCCUCCACUUGCUCAGCCUCCACCACCUCCAUGCAAGGUUUAACUGGACCUUGUGUUUCCUGGAGCUGCUCCAUGUCUGAACCUUUGGACUGGAAACUACUCUGUCCACCACAUCUGCCAUUGUCCACCAUCUCCCCCUAGACUUUCAGUCCCCAAACCCCUCCCUGUUCUUUCAGUUUAUUAGCCGUUUUUUGGCUUGACUUCUUUCCUUUUCAGUUUAAUCCCUGAGUAGUCUCGUGUCUCAAUCCCUUUGACCUUCUAAUCCAGCUUUCUUAACAAUCCCAAAAUUCAGGUCAACUCAAUCAUCCGUUUUCUUACAUUUUGCUUUAAAGACAUUGAAGAAGCCUAAAGAAAAUUGAAUAAAUGAGUUAAUUAGUCACAUCACCAAGACAACAGUUUGGUCAGUGAAACACUCAUAGCUGUUGGGUCAACUUUUUAUUCAUCCCUGCCUGGCUCUCUUUCCUUUUCAUCACACAGUGACUGUUCACAUGUUUAUGGCUCUCCACAGGCCCUUCCUCAUCCCACUCUGAAAUCCUGCCACUCUCAAUGGUCAACCGAGCCUUACUCUUGCUGGUCACUGAUCUGUGAGGUUUAUAUGUAUUACCUUGUUGAAUCUUCACAACAGCCCUUUGAGGAAGAUAUUAUUACCCCUGGUUUAUAGAUGCCCAAGUUCUUAAAGAAAAUAAGUAGUGAUGCCUGGAUCUGAACCCAGGAAAUCUGACUCUAAGCUCAUGCCCUUUGUCCCUAAACUGCCUUGCUUCUGGUACAGACUUGGUCAGGCAUUUUCUCCCUAGAGCUUCAGUCCUUUCCACCUACAGAUUUUUCCAUAUCUUUCUCCUAGGCCAUUCUCUCCUGACUCUUCUCAGUUAAUCUCCUACCAAAGCUCUGUAUCCCCUGCUCCCCCGGCUCUCUCAGGGCUUUCUCCAUCAUUGAUUUGUUGAUUGAUUUAGCAGAUACUUAUUAAGUAUUAUUGUGUACUAGGUCUUAGGGACACAGGUAAACAAAACCUAAUCUCUAGUCCUGGAGCUUUACAUUCAAAUUAUUCCUCUAAAAUAUUUAACAUCUCACCAUGCCCUAGGCCCUCUUCCUCCUACAGAAAUGCUGAAGUUCGCCGGGCGCGGUGGCUCACGCCUGUAAUCCCAACACUUUGGGAGGCCGAGGAGGGUGGAUCCUGAGGUCAGGAGAUCGAGACCACGGUGAAACCCCAUCUCUACUAAAAAUAGAAAAAAUUAGCUGGGCGCAGUGGCGGGCGCCUGUAGUCCCAGCUACUUGGGAGGCUGAGGCAGGAGAAUGGCGUGAACUCGGGAGGCGGAGCUUGCAGUGAGCCGAGACCACGCCACUGCACUCCAGCCUGGGCGACAGUGAGACUCCGUCUCAAAAAAAAAAAAAAGAAAUGCUGAAGUGACUGUAUAUUUCAUACUACAUCUAGCACCACACCUGACAAGGCACCAGGAACAUGUUUGACAGAGGGACAAAUAAUUCCAAGUAAAGUAAUCAAGGUUUGGAAGUUUGUUCUUAGUCUCUAGCCUCCUUUUUAUUAUUUAUUUAUUUAUUUAUUUAGGAGAUGGAGUUUCUCUCUUGUCGCCCAGGAUGGAGGGCAAUGGCGCCAUCUCGGCUUAUUGCAACCUCCACCUCUGGGUUCAAGCAAUUCUCCUGCCUCAGUCUCCCAAGUAGCUGGCAUUAUAGGUGUGCUCUGCCAUGCCUGGCUAAUUUUUCUAUUAUUGGUAGAGACAGGGUUUCACCAUGUUGGCCAGGCUGGUCUCAAACUCCUGACCUCAGGUGAUGCCCCUACCUUGGCCUCCCAAAAUGCUGCAAUUACAAGCGUGAGCCACCAUGCCCGGCCUCUGGCCUCCUUUUUCUAAAAAGUAGCCCACUUCAGAUGUCGAAAACCCUUUCUCUCUCACUAUGUUCCCUUCUGAGCAGACCCAGAAAGGUUCUGAAAACCAACCUUUGCCAUUAAUGACUGACUAGUUGUACUUCCACUGAAAUCCCACCAAAAUUACCUCAAACUAGUACCUACAGUUUAAGCCUUUUAGUCUAUGAUUGUGAAACAAAAGGUAUGUGGCCUUAUUAAUAAAUUUUGGCAUCUGUAAGGUAGGAGAUAAUCGUGAGACAAGGGAACCUUCAAAGCCAUAUUUUGUCACUUCUAGUGGUCCUUGAAUAGAGGGUGAUUUUGCCCCUAAGAGAACAUUUGGCAAUGUCUGGAGGUAUUUUUGGUGUCACAGCUUUAUGGGGGAAGCGGGGAGGAUGGACAGUGCUACUGUAGGCUUCUAGCAAGUAGAGGCUAGGGAUGCUGCUCAACGUCCUACAGCACAGGUGACAAAACCUCACAACAAAGAAUUGCUGCCCCAACUUGAAAGCCACUGAUCGAAAGGGUGAACUUGACUGGAACAUUGAGGUGCCCUGUGAGUCAGGGCAGUUAGUAUCUGGGGGAUGCUGGCUGAGCCUGCCAAGCAUCUAUUGGAAAGUUGCUGGAGGUGAAGGAUCAUGUCUUUGGGACCUAGAGAGUGAGAUACUUGGACUCAGUUUCUGCCUCCACCCUUCCCCUAACUUUAUUUAGAUCUUCCCACAGCCCCAAGAAGUUCCGUACACAUUUUAUCUCGUCCUAGAUCACCUUCUUUUUUAGUAUGUAGAGAUUUUGAGGGGAAAGGUAAAUAGGAGACUCUUUCUCAACAGAGGUAGGAUAAGAUUUAUCUUAAUGCCAAUUAAACAAUAGUGAAGACCCAAAAGAAAAAAGUUGGAAACCCAAGCUUUUCACAUAAGUUAAUAGCAAUGAAGAAUCAGUUUAUUGAACAAUUUAUUGAACAUAAGAACAAUUUCAUAAAUUCUUAUGAAAUUAAGUCUUAAAGGAGGAGAAUAGGCAGGGCAUGGUGGUUCACACCUGUAAUCCCAGCACUUUGGGAGGCUGAGGCGAAUUGAUCACUUGAGGACAGGAGUUCAAGACCAGCCUGGCCAACAUAGGGAAACCCCCUCUCUACUAAAUAAAUAAAUAGAUACAAAAAAUUAGCUGGGUGUGGUGGCAUCGCCUAUAAUCCCAGCUACUUGGGAGGCUGAGACAUGAGAAUUGCUUGAACCUGGGAGGUGGAGGUUGCAGUGAGCUGAGAUCAUGCCACUGUACUCCAGCCUGGGCGACAGAGCAAGACUCUGUCAAAAAAGAAAAAAAAAAAAGGAAAGCUAUGUUAAUAAAGUAUAAAUUCCAAAAUUUAACCAGAAGUUAGUGGAUAUUAGCUCUUACCAUGGAAAAUUAUCAUUACUUAAAUAAUUUGCUAAAUUUUAUUUUUAAGUGGUUUAGUAGAAAUGUAUUUAAUAGAUGGAACUAUGUGUGUUUUAAACAAAUAGCUACUGCCAAAUAUGUAGAAGUAAACAUUGAAAUGAUAAUUAGGGCUAUCAAGAAUUGUUUGUAUAAAUCAAACCGAUCAGAUUCAUAUUGAUUAAAGCCAUUUUCUUAUUUUUAUACUUUUAUUGUUCAUCAUAUCACUAGCAUUUACAAUAAAGAAUAUAUAAUUAUGAAUUCAAAUAUACUCAAAUUCUCAUGAAGGCAAAACCCAAGAAGAAUAGUUGUAAACGGGAUCAUUAAGCACCUUUUUCAAAUAUUGCCUGAUUUCCACUUAGACUUAUUAGCUGAUUGCUUUUAGACAGUGGUUUCCAAACUUGGCAGUGUAUCAGUACCAUUUAAGAACUGGUGACAGGGCCAGGAAUCUCCAAUUAAAAUAUCAGCAACAAGGUCCAAAUGAUUUUGAUACCCAUUCAUGACAUAUAGGUAGUUGCCCUGUUGGUGCUUAUACUAAAACAAGUUUUAAAUGAAGAGGCCAGAUCUAAAAUAUUUCUGAAAUGUUUAAUUUGAAGCCCCAAAAUGCUUUAGGUAUUGUAAGUCUACCCCUACCUUCCAAGGAAUAAAAACUUGGAGGGGGAGGAAUGUGGUAAAAUGUGAUUAGUAAUCUUUUUGUCACAAUAAGGACAUUGAUGUCAGUGCACCUAAUUCAGAUUGGGGAAGGACUGCCUGUUUUUAAUUUUCUAGGAUGCUAGUGGGAUAACUAAAACUGUAAUUAUUAAUUUGGUCAAUAAGAAGUCAUUAAACUAAAGAAAGCACUGGAACCUACCAGUCUUAGUGAAUAACAUAAUUGCAUCUAGUCCCCAGAAACUUCUACAUCAACCUAAUAAUGUAUACAUGAAUCAUAUUCUUAAUUAACAUUUCCAUAAAUAUGCUGAAGGGCAGCUCAAAGAAAAUGGAAUACAGACUGAACAGGAUAUACAGGCAUCCUGAUUUCUACUCCUUCCCAUUCAUAGCUUGCUCUUUUGAUGCUGCCUAAUAGACAUCUCUAUAUUUUAUAUAUAUUUAGUGACAUAUUUCAUCUCCACUGUACUGACCCACUAAGGGCUUUGGAAGGUGAUGCCUCAUAGAUAAACACGAGGUUGCAUGGAUAGAUACUGUUUUAUUCUAUGAAUGACAAGUUCAAAAGGGUGGUUUCCAGGAAUGCAGUGCAUUUGAAAUAAUCAUUUAAAAUAAUGACAGCUGAUCAUUUAUUGUUUACUGUGUGUUUUAGGUGCUGUGCCAAGUUUAAGUUUAUUAUCUAAUUUAGUCAUAACAGCAACAUCAUGAAAUAGGUACCAUCAUAAUUCCUAUUUUACAAAUAAUGAAACCAGAAAACAGACAAGUUACCCAAAGUUAGUAGGUUAUUAAUAGUAGAGUUUGUAUUAUUAUUAUUAUUUUUUGAGACGGAGUCUCGCUCUGUCGCCCAGGCUGGAGUGCAGUGGUGCAAUCUCAGCUCGCUGCAAGCUCCGCCUCCCAGGUUCACGCCAUUCUCCUGCCUCAGCCUCCUGAGUAGCUGGGACUACACGCGCCUGCCAGGACGCCUGGCUGAUUUUUUGUAUUUUUAGUAGAGAUGGGGUUUUACUGUGUUGGCCAGCAUGGUCUCGAUCUCCUGACCUUGUGAUCCGCCCACCUUGGCCUCCCAAAGUGCUGGGAUGUAAUAAUUAUUUUUGUGUAUGAACUCGGCAGAGAAGUAUAUAAAUAGUUUUUUAAAAAACAAAGGAAAAGUCCUGUGGAAAAAAAUGGGAACACCUAGUAUUAAUAAAAAAAAAAAAAAAAUCCUGACACUUGAAGUGUCCACUUUCUUAGCAGAAAGUGGCUGAUUUUCAGACAGCAAACUAUGUAUCAGAAAACCGGGAGAAGAACCCAAGAUACGUCCCUACUCAAACUGAUUCAAACUUAGAUAUGUAUAUGGAACAGGAAGGGCUGGGAACAAAAUUAUCAGCCCAUUUCUAGUGGGUAGAACAUUUAAGAAUAAUUAUAAGGAAUUAUGUGAGGUCAUUUGUCAAGAAGGAGUCAACAGGGCAGUGCUGGAUGACACCUCUUCCAUUCCAACAGUGUAAGCUCGACUGUCUUAAAUUGAUCAGACUAAGGAAGAAUGAUCAAAGUUCUCAAAUAGGUUGCUACACCCUUCCACAUUCCAUCUGCAACUCAGCUUUUGUCCUUCAAGUUUCUAAUUGCUUCAUUUGAGCCAUACACUCAGUAUAAAGGAGGAAGUUGGACAAUCCCAGUCACAAAUGGGGAGCUGACUGGCAGUCCCCUGGAAUCACCUUUGCCUUCAGUCCCUAUCAUUGCGGGAGCCAGGUUGUAAAAUCUAGCAUGGGACAAGAGGCUCAUCUGUCAGCCGUGGCUCCCAGAGCAGUAGCCCGGCAGUAAGUGUCUCCAGGAGGAAUGUGAACAAUGCGGAACCACCCAGUCUCAAUGUAGUAGUAGGGACAGAGUUACUGUUCGCACUGGCAUUGGGGAUUGGCACUAUGCUAUCUGCUCUCGCUCAGCUCAUUACCCAUGGAAGGAAUUUGGCAAGCUUUUUUUUUUUAAGACAAGGUCUUGCUCUGUCAUCCAGGCUGGAAUACAGUGGUGUGAUCAUAGCUCUCUGCAACCUCAAACUCCUGGACUCAUGAUCCUCCCACCUCAGCCUUCCAAGUAGUGACGACUACAGGCACAUGCCACCACACUCAGCUAAUUUUGUAAAUUUUUGUAGACACAAGGGUUCACUAUGUUGUCCAGGCUGGUCCUGGUCUCGAACUCCUGGGCUGAAGCCAUCCUUCCACCUUGGCCUCCCAAAGUGCUGGUAUUACAGGCGUGAGCCACCGCGCUUGGCAGACUUUAUUUCUUAAAGAUUGCCGUCUUACUCAGCAUCUUGGAGAACUCACAAAUAAAUGUCCCUGAGUUUCAAGACAAGCCAGCCAUUAAAACCUUUUAGGGGGAUCCGGAGAAGAUGAGUUAAAUUGGAAUGGACUUGAAAAAACUGAUUUAGUUGGAUUUAUGGAUCACAGUCAUGAAAAGACCCUGAGGAAAGUGAACACGUAUGAAGCUGAUUGGCAGUGAAAGAAACUAAGAAAAGGAAAGCCCAGGAUGGAGCCUAAUGGAUAUUAAAGUAAAACUGAGUUCAAUUUCAUCUGUGCUGACAAGGACUUGCUCACAUGCUGAUGAUGGUGGCAACUGCUUAAUGGAAAAAUUGCAAAGGGCCUUGGAAUGUGAUCAUCAUGUUACACAAGGCUGAACCAAAUGCCUCUGCCAGGAGAAUCCUUCAGAGUGUCCUAGAACAUUGGAAAUAGGCUUAAAGCUUAAAUGAUGAAUCAGAAGAGUUAUGCUGUAUUCUAAUGCUGCCACGAGCCCAAACCUUAGGCCAUCAUUAAGGUUCUGCACCACAACCAAGUCUUCCACUGACAGCUUUCCUGAGUGACUUCAGGCUGCACCAUUGUAAUUCUUCAGAAAGUGUCUACACAUGGUAGCCAAAGAGCCUCGGCCCUGGAGCCAGACUGCCUGGAGUCAAAUCCUUGCUCUGCUACUUACGAGCUGCUGGUUAGUUAACCUUUCUAUGCCUCAGAUUCACCAUGUGUAAAAUGGAUUGUAAGAGUGGCUACUUGGUAAGAUUGUUGUGAAGUUUAAUAUAUGUGUUAAUAUAUGUAAAACACAUGGAAGAGCUCCAGGUACAUAGUAAGUGCUCUGUAAAUAUCAUCUAUUAUUAUUAUUGCAACUACAUUUCACACAUUUUAAAUAAAUCUUAAGAAUUAAAUUGUUUCGUGCAUGUAGAUAAUGUC
Symphalangus syndactylus (siamang) is the source of this 7353-nucleotide long non-coding RNA. RefSeq lists it as uncharacterized. NCBI's taxonomy places the organism in Eukaryota, Metazoa, Chordata, Mammalia, Primates, Hylobatidae. The record is from RefSeq and is a predicted model, not a curated record.